RNAcentral lists this ribosomal RNA (440 nucleotides) under uncultured bacterium. RNAcentral describes it as "partial 16S ribosomal RNA". It matches the Rfam family "Bacterial small subunit ribosomal RNA", at positions 338 to 795 of the family's 1533-position model. The record is from RNAcentral.
CCUACGGGAGGCAGCAGUGGGGGAUAUUGCACAAUGGGGGAAACCCUGAUGCAGCGACGCCGCGUGUGGGAAGACGGUCCUCUGGAUUGUAAACCACUGUCCCCAGGGACGAAGAUGACGGUACCUGGGGAGGAAGCUCCGGCUAACUACGUGCCAGCAGCCGCGGUAAGACGUAGGGAGCGAGCGUUGUCCGGAAUUACGGGGUGUAAGGGGAGCGUAGGCGGGGAUGCAAGUGGGGUGUCAAAACUACCGGCUCAACUGGUAGUCGCACUCAAAACUGCAGCUCUUGAGUGAAGUAGAGGCAGGCGGAAUUCCUCGUGUAGCGGUGAAAUGCGUAGAUAUUAGGAGGACCACCAGUGGCGAAGGCGGCCUGCUGGGCUUUUCCUGACGCUGAGGCUCGAAAGUGUGGGGAGCAAACAGGAUUAGAUACCCCAGUAGUC